AAUACAAGGCAUACGGCUCAUUAACGCGUACCCAACCUAACCUAUGGACGGAAAUAACCUCGGGAAACUGAAAAUAAUGCCCAAUAAAACAUUAUGCCGGGAAUGGUUUAUGCUCCAAAUGAUUUAUCGCCGAAGGAUGGGACUGCGGCCUAUCAUUUUGUUGGUGAGGUAAUGGCCCACCAAAACAAUUACAGGUACGGGCUCUGAAAGAAGUACCCCGAAGAUGGGUACUGAAACACGGACCCAGGCCCUAUGGGGCGCAGCAGGCAAAAAAACUUUGCAAUGUGCGAAAGCACGACAAGGUUAAUCCGAGUGUUUUCUGCUAAAGGAACCUUUUGUCGGUCCUAGAAACACCAAUAAAUAAGGGGUGGGCAAGUUCUGGUGUCAGCCGCCGCGGUAAAACCACCACCUCAGGUGGUCAGGAUGAUUAUUGGGCCUAAAGCAUCCGUAGCUGGCUCUGUUAGUUUUCAGUUAAAUCUGUAAGCUCAACGUACAGGCU
RNAcentral lists this ribosomal RNA (499 nucleotides) under uncultured archaeon. RNAcentral's name for it is "bacterial SSU rRNA". It matches the Rfam family "Archaeal small subunit ribosomal RNA", at positions 73 to 572 of the family's 1478-position model. The record is from RNAcentral.